Molecule: unclassified non-coding RNA, 644 nt
Filed under: Hevea brasiliensis (rubber tree)
Lineage: Eukaryota; Viridiplantae; Streptophyta; Magnoliopsida; Malpighiales; Euphorbiaceae
Source: RNAcentral
CUUCCAUUGGAGACCAUUUGUGAACAGAUAAAUCAAAUUCUGUGUCCUCUGGAACAGAAGUCUGCUUCUGAAGUGCAUGCACUAGACUCAAAUAAAGCACAAGCUGAAUUAAAGGACAAUCUACCAGAAUCACAAUCACAUUCUGUCCAGCAGAAUAAUGAUAAUCCUCCUGCUUCAGAAGGAUACUGAGAUGAAGGACAUAACGAGAGAGUCUGAGCUGAGAGAGUCUGAGCUGCAAAAAGAAGAUGGUGUAUUGAUAGACCAAGAGCUGGUUAAAGAGCGGAACAAAUCUCCAUAUGAUAUUCUGGCUGCUGCAGAUACAUGGACAUCUCCAAAGGAACCUGUACAUUCACCAGAAAUUACCAAGAGAAUGAAGUUGAAAUGCAAGAAGUUAAAAAUAAUGCUGGCUGUUCACCAGGGAUAGCUGAAAAUGAUGUGGGAGUGGGAGAAUCGAAGAAUGAUGCCGACACCAAAACUGGAGCUAACCAAAGUGAAAAUGAGAUUGUCGAUAAAUUGAAAUCAGGAGUCGUAAUUUUAGAUGAUUGAUAUCAUACAAAUGACAAUCUCAUUACAUCUUUCAUAAUUCCUUUGCUGUAACAUCUAGUUUACAAGCUUUAGGAAAAAGGGACUCUUAAUUUGCUGCA